CGAGUUCAGACUCGUGGCGAAUAGCUCAGUAACACGUGGCCAAACUACCCUUCGGAACACAAUACCCUCGGGAAACUGAGGCUAAUAGUGUAUACCAUACCACCACUGGAAUGAGUGGUAUGCCAAACGCUCCGGCGCCGAAGGAUGUGGCUGCGGCCGAUUAGGUAGACGGUGGGGUAACGGCCCACCGUGCCAAUAAUCGGUAUGGGUCAUGAGAGUGAGAACCCAGAGACGGAAUCUGAGACAAGAUACCGGGCCCUACGGGGCGCAGCAGGCGCGAAACCUUUACACUGCACGCCAGUGCGAUAGGGGGACUCCAAGUGCGAGGGCAUAUAGUCCUCGCUUUUGUACACCGUAAGGUGGUGUACGAAUAAGAACUGGGCAAGACCGGUGCCAGCCGCCGCGGUAAUACCGGCAGUUCGAGUGAUGGCCGAUUUUAUUGGGCCUAAAGCGUUCGUAGCUGGCCAGUCAAGUCUGUCGGGAAACCUGCUCGCUCAACGAGCAGCCGUCCGGCGGAAACUGAUUGGCUUGGGACCGGAAGACCUGAAGAGUACGUCCGGGGUAGGAGUGAAAUCCUGUAAUCCUGGACGGACUCCGAUGGCGAAAGCACUUCAGGAGCACGGAUCCGACAGUGAGGAACGAAAGCUGGGGUCUCGAACCGGAUUAGAUACCCGGGUAGUCCCAGCCGUAAACGAUGUCUGCUAGGUAUGGCACAGGCUACGAGCCUGUGCUAUGCCGCAGCGAAGGCGCUAAGCAGACCGCCUGGGAAGUACGUCCGCAAGGAUGAAACUUAAAGGAAUUGGCGGGGGAGCACUACAACCGGAGGAGCCUGCGGUUUAAUUGGACUCAACGCCGGACAUCUCACCGGCACCGACAGCAGUAAUGACGGUCAGGUUGAUGACCUUACUCGAGCUGCUGAGAGGAGGUGCAUGGCCGCCGUCAGCUCGUACCGUGAGGCGUCCCGUUGGGGGGGGCCAAGGGGCAGAGACGCAUCCCUAAUUUCCAGCAACAGUUCCGACUGGUUGGGUACAUUAGGAAGACUGCCAGUGUUCAACUGGAGGAACGAACGGGCAACGGUUGGUCAGUAUGCCCCGAAUGAGCUGGGCAACACGCGGGCUACAAUCCAUAAGACAAUGCGUCGCUAUCUGCUCAGACAACGCUAAUCUCAAAACCUUGUCGUAGUUCGGACUGCAGCUGACAUCGCCUCAUGAAGCAUGACCCGGUCCAGUCGA
This 1232-nucleotide ribosomal RNA is filed under the name uncultured haloarchaeon. RNAcentral's name for it is "bacterial SSU rRNA". It matches the Rfam family "Archaeal small subunit ribosomal RNA", at positions 63 to 1301 of the family's 1478-position model. The record is from RNAcentral. Lineage: Archaea; Methanobacteriati; Methanobacteriota; Halobacteria; Halobacteriales; Halobacteriaceae.